UGAACGCUGGCGGCGUGCCUAAUACAUGCAAGUCGAGCGAACAGACGAGGAGCUUGCUCCUCUGACGUUAGCGGCGGACGGGUGAGUAACACGUGGAUAACCUACCUAUAAGACUGGGAUAACUUCGGGAAACCGGAGCUAAUACCGGAUAAUAUAUUGAACCGCAUGGUUCAAUAGUGAAAGACGGUUUUGCUGUCACUUAUAGAUGGAUCCGCGCCGCAUUAGCUAGUUGGUAAGGUAACGGCUUACCAAGGCAACGAUGCGUAGCCGACCUGAGAGGGUGAUCGGCCACACUGGAACUGAGACACGGUCCAGACUCCUACGGGAGGCAGCAGUAGGGAAUCUUCCGCAAUGGGCGAAAGCCUGACGGAGCAACGCCGCGUGAGUGAUGAAGGUCUUCGGAUCGUAAAACUCUGUUAUUAGGGAAGAACAAAUGUGUAAGUAACUAUGCACGUCUUGACGGUACCUAACCAGAAAGCCACGGCUAACUACGUG
RNAcentral lists this ribosomal RNA (495 nucleotides) under uncultured bacterium. Its description in RNAcentral is "partial 16S ribosomal RNA". It matches the Rfam family "Bacterial small subunit ribosomal RNA", at positions 30 to 507 of the family's 1533-position model. The record is from RNAcentral.